ACGGGAGGCAGCAGUGAGGAAUUUUCCGCAAUGGGCGAAAGCCUGACGGAGCGACGCCGCGUGAGGGAUGAAGGUUUUCGGAUCGUAAACCUCUUUUAUUAAGGAAAAACGUAUAUGUGCUCAUACCACAUAUGCUUGAUGGUACUUAUUGAAUAAGCCCCGGCUAACUACGUGCCAGCAGCCGCGGUAAUACGUAGGGAGCAAGCGUUAUCCGGAUUUACUGGGUGUAAAGGGCGUGUAGGCGGGACAUCAAGUCAGAUGUGAAAGCACGAGGCUCAACUUCGUGUCUGCAUUUGAAACUGACGUUCUUGAGUGUUGGAGAGGCUAACGGAACUCCUAGUGUAGCGGUGAAAUGCGUAGAUAUUAGGAAGAACACCAGUGGCGAAGGCGGUUAGCUGGACAAUAACUGACGCUGAGGCGCGAAAGCGUGGGUAGCAAACAGGAUUAGAUACCCUGGUA
This 459-nucleotide ribosomal RNA is filed under the name uncultured Oscillospiraceae bacterium. Its description in RNAcentral is "bacterial SSU rRNA". It matches the Rfam family "Bacterial small subunit ribosomal RNA", at positions 341 to 792 of the family's 1533-position model. The record is from RNAcentral. Lineage: Bacteria; Bacillati; Bacillota; Clostridia; Eubacteriales; Oscillospiraceae.